GUUUCCGUGGUGUAGUGGUAGCACGUUCGUCUCACACCUAGUUUGGUGUUUCUUCACGAAUCACGAAUGGUCCCGGGAUCGUAGCCCGGCGGGAACA
Molecule: non-coding RNA, 97 nt
Organism: Schizopora paradoxa
Lineage: Eukaryota; Fungi; Basidiomycota; Agaricomycetes; Hymenochaetales; Schizoporaceae
Source: the annotation of a GenBank genome assembly